CUAAAUUCAGCACCAAGACCGGUGGAGAUAAUUGGAAAUCUUGCUUCUAUUGAGAAAGCAGAGAAGCUUAUCCAUGAAGUUAUAGCUCAGUCUGAAGGAGAAGGUAUACCUGCCCUUUUUGUAAGAGGGGCCCCAGAACAAAUAUAGAUCAAAGUUCCAAAAGAUGGUUGGUGUGAUCAUUGGCCGGGGAGACUAUCAAGAACAUGCAGACAAAGUCGAG
This is a long non-coding RNA of Brassica oleracea var. oleracea, 220 nucleotides long. RefSeq lists it as uncharacterized. The transcript has 3 exons. The record is from RefSeq and is a predicted model, not a curated record. NCBI's taxonomy places the organism in Eukaryota, Viridiplantae, Streptophyta, Magnoliopsida, Brassicales, Brassicaceae.